CGUCAACUGAAAAAAAAAGAAAAAAAAAUCAUCAAAUUUUACCUUGCGCUCGCUUGCAUCCGAACGGAAAAACACCUCUCGGUUAAUUUUUCGUCUUCUUGCGUUCGGGAAUCGGAAACCCGGAUUCCCGAGGAUAUGCAACAGAGUUGGUUUCAUUGUAGACCGAAACUAAAUUUGGUUCGUCGGAUCAGGACUACCAACCAAUUGAGCGACACAGCUCAUUCCAUCAAUCCUCCUGCUGGACAGCUAUCGGGCUGUGGAGCGAUGCCUUUAUCAGCGUCAGCCCUUCCAGCGGGACGAUAUUUUAAACUUGAUACCGAAGACAUCGGGUACAAUCAAGAUGUCGCGACCCAAUAAUAAUCGACCUUUGCGUUCCUGGUCCCGCCUUUUCGCAGUUCGUAAACUUAAACUAAUGCACAUCAACAUUCGGGGGACCAGUGCGAAGCCAAGUGAUCGUGAUUCAGAUUCCGCUUUUGACGGAAGAUCUGCCCUACAGGAGAGCGUUCAUUUUCAAUCGGUUUUUUUUGUCGAUGUAAUCUGAAUUAUAUUUGUGCUUUUUCCCAACCAAAAUUUU
Uranotaenia lowii is the source of this 574-nucleotide long non-coding RNA. RefSeq lists it as uncharacterized. The transcript is spliced from 3 exons. The record is from RefSeq and is a predicted model, not a curated record. NCBI's taxonomy places the organism in Eukaryota, Metazoa, Arthropoda, Insecta, Diptera, Culicidae.